GAUGAACGCUGGCGGCGUGCUUAACACAUGCAAGUCGAACGGGAAUUAUUUUAUUGAAACUUCGGUCGAUUUAAUUUAAUUCUAGUGGCGGACGGGUGAGUAACGCGUGGGUAACCUGCCUUAUACAGGGGGAUAACAGUCAGAAAUGGCUGCUAAUACCGCAUAAGCGCACAGAGCUGCAUGGCUCAGUGUGAAAAACUCCGGUGGUAUAAGAUGGACCCGCGUUGGAUUAGCUUGUUGGCAGGGUAACGGCCUACCAAGGCGACGAUCCAUAGCCGGCCGGAGAGGGUGAACGGCAACAUGGGGACUGAGACACGGCCCAGAUUCCUAGGGGAGGCAGCAGGGGGGAAUAUUGCAAAAGGGGGGAAACCCUGAUGCAGCGACGCCGGGUGAAGGAAGAAGUAUCUCGGUAUGAAAACUUCUAUCAGCAGGGAAGAUAGGGACGGUACCUGACUAAGAAGCCCCGGCUAACUACGU
Molecule: ribosomal RNA, 477 nt
Filed under: uncultured bacterium
Lineage: Bacteria
Description: partial 16S ribosomal RNA
Rfam family: Bacterial small subunit ribosomal RNA
Source: RNAcentral